CGGCAUAUGGAGGUUCCCAGGCUGGGGGUCCAAUCGGAGCUGUAGCCGCCAACCUACACAAGAGCCACAGCAGUGUGGGAUCCAAGCCACGUCUGUGGCCUACACCACAGCUCACAGCAAUGCUGGGUCCUUAACCCACUGAGCGAGGGCAGGGACCGAACCCGCAACCUCAUGGUUCCUAGUCGGAUUCGUUAACCACUGCGCCACGACGGGAACUCCAGAGAUAAUAUUUUUAUAGGUCAUUAGAGACCACUCUGAGAUUGACAGAUACCAGAUAUAUUUCUUUAUUUUUUUUUACAUAUAUAUAUAUGUGUGUGUAUAUGUGUAUACAUAUAUAUGUGUGUGUGUGUGUGUGUGUGUGUGUGUCCUUUUAAAAUAUUCUCUUCCAUCGUGGUCCAUCCCAGGAGAUUGGAUGGAGUGCCCUGUUGGGACCUUGCUCUUUAUCCAGUCUACAUACCAUAGUUGGCAUCUACUGACCUCAAAUCCCCAGCUGAUCCCACUCCCUCUUUCUGAAUCUACAGGCAGAAUCCUGAGGCGUCUCCCAUCACUCAAGCCUGUUCAGUAUGUUGAAGUUUCUCUGAUGUUAGUGUUCGGGAACUUGAUCCAAAUAAGGUUUAUAAUUCCCCUUUCAUGGUCUUUCUCCCUGAGACUGUGAGAAACUAAAACAGCAGUGGCCCACCUUGUCCACCUCGGUCAUGGCUGUAUCCCUGGUUGUUAGCACAGGUUCCGGCAUAUGUAAGUGUUCAAACAGCUUUUGAACACGGAUGAACGAAUUAGUCACAUACGGCUUAGAAGGCUAAGUAAACGAGAUAAGCUGAUGCUCUGGGGGGAAGCAUUGGCUAAAGGGCGCUUUCCUUGGGGUUGGGAUUUGUCAUCGACGCCAAGCUUUCUCUCACUUCCUCUGUGCUGAAGGCGGUCCUGUUGGAAGGUGUGUGCAUCAAACAAGAACAUCUAAUUGCUCUGACUGAAAUAAUUUCAACUCGACACAAGCCGUUUUCAAGAAGUUGAAAUACUUCCUGGAGCCUGCAGUUUUUAUCGAGGUGUGGAACCUGGCCCUUAAAAGCAGGCUGGGCUGUGGCCCAAUGGGUGUGGGAUUGGGGCAGCAAAUCACACGGGGUCUUCCUACAGCAACGUCCUGAUCCAAGAGGAGUUAGGCGAAAGGAACAAGCACGGCCUCAGUGGAGCCCUAGGCUGCCGUCAGGGCAGGUAUGGGGAGCAAGACAUGUGAUCCCGUAGCUCUGACUUGGUAAAAGUGGGUCUGAUGACUGGCGUGAGGAACCUUGUGCCCUAAGCCAUAGCUGACAGAGCUGCCCACUCCCAACAUGAGCGCAUGGAAGCUGGAGGCUUGUCAGUCUUGAAAGCAUCCUGGGGACUGUCCCUGGAGCUGGCAGUCACUUACCUGUAGCUUGGCAGCUGUGCCUUCCAUGCUAGAGAGGGUUACCCUAAGUUUUUAAGAUAAAAUACUGCAGAAAACAGGAAAAUACAGUGAGAAGAACUCUGGGUCCUAGGAGGGUAGCAGAGUGCAAAGAGCUUGUUUUGUUUUCUGCAUAUGCAUAGGAAGACCUGAGUUCAGUUCCUAACCCUGCCAGGGUUUAGCGCCACGUCCUUACGCAAAUGUUGAGCCUCAGUCUUUUCAUCUGUGAAAAGGAAGAGCCAUGACCUCCGAGCUGUGAGACUCAGCCAAGGUGGCAGAUAGAAAAGCCCUUUGUGAACUGCCAGGUGCAGGCUCAGUAUGAGGCAUUGCUACAACAGGAGCUCCGUGAGCACAGGGCCGUGGUCUUCUGCCCUUGGUGUAUGUGGUACUUCAUUGCUGUGAUAGCCUAGGGAAAUACCCAGCUGAAAGAAAAGAAGGAUGUUCCUUACACAGCCCGAAGCAAAAUAAAAAGAGCUUCAAAUUACAUUAUAUAAUUCCUUUUAAUUAUGAAGAAAAACAUUUUGCAAGCACAUAUUUGAAAACAUAAAAUCUCAGUGGGUAGGAAUCUUUAGAAUAUCAAAAAGAAAAAAAAAAUCACUUCGGAACAUGCUUAAGGCCCUAAGCUGUAAGGCUCUAGGUGAGCCUUUAAUUCUGCGUGAAUGUUUCUGUUGCUCUCCCUGGAGUCUCUCGCUGGCUCUGGUCAAGGCCCUUGUGGGCUUUGCUGGUAAACAGGAACAAAAGGUACACAAGUGUGGUUCUAGUUCAUUGGAGGGAAAAUAAUGCAGGGUGUUGUGGCUGAUAAAUUACUCACGACUUCCUUUGCUGUGAGAUGGUGCACUCACUGGAGGAAAAUUGGUUAAAGUGUGGAUCUGUGUGUACCUGUGUUUUCUGUGCCCAGGAAGUAAGGACACAGUCAGACCUCUUGCCUUGAAAAGGCUUUCUUCCCC
Molecule: long non-coding RNA, 2361 nt
Filed under: Sus scrofa (pig)
Lineage: Eukaryota; Metazoa; Chordata; Mammalia; Artiodactyla; Suidae
Description: lncRNA (ENSSSCG00025056134.1)
Source: RNAcentral